RNAcentral lists this long non-coding RNA (205 nucleotides) under Carica papaya (papaya). RNAcentral describes it as "long non-coding RNA (CPAP_LNC013139)". Lineage: Eukaryota; Viridiplantae; Streptophyta; Magnoliopsida; Brassicales; Caricaceae. The record is from RNAcentral.
ACGAGCGCAUAGUGCGUACGUCCCAUCUGCAUGCGAUGUACGCACAACGUGCACGUCCGGUCCACUCGCGCGCACGCAUGCACGCAACGUGAGAAAAGUGCACACGUCCAAUCCACACGAACGGUGCAGGGUCAGGACCUACUCGUGUCUCAUCACGCACAGGCGGGCCAUCCGCAGGUUACCUCAUGCGUCGCACACUAUGUGU